Molecule: ribosomal RNA, 1344 nt
Filed under: uncultured bacterium
Lineage: Bacteria
Description: bacterial SSU rRNA
Rfam family: Bacterial small subunit ribosomal RNA
Source: RNAcentral
GACGAACGCUGGCGGCGUGCUUAACACAUGCAAGUCGAACGGAAAGGCCCUGCUUUUGUGGGGUGCUCGAGUGGCGAACGGGUGAGUAACACGUGAGUAACCUGCCCUUGACUUUGGGAUAACUUCAGGAAACUGGGGCUAAUACCGGAUAGGAGCUCCUGCUGCAUGGUGGGGGUUGGAAAGUUUCGGCGGUUGGGGAUGGACUCGCGGCUUAUCAGCUUGUUGGUGGGGUAGUGGCUUACCAAGGCUUUGACGGGUAGCCGGCCUGAGAGGGUGACCGGCCACAUUGGGACUGAGAUACGGCCCAGACUCCUACGGGAGGCAGCAGUGGGGAAUAUUGCACAAUGGGCGGAAGCCUGAUGCAGCAACGCCGCGUGCGGGAUGACGGCCUUCGGGUUGUAAACCGCUUUCGCCUGUGACGAAGCGUGAGUGACGGUAAUGGGUAAAGAAGCACCGGCUAACUACGUGCCAGCAGCCGCGGUGAUACGUAGGGUGCGAGCGUUGUCCGGAUUUAUUGGGCGUAAAGGGCUCGUAGGUGGUUGAUCGCGUCGGAAGUGUAAUCUUGGGGCUUAACCCUGAGCGUGCUUUCGAUACGGGUUGACUUGAGGAAGGUAGGGGAGAAUGGAAUUCCUGGUGGAGCGGUGGAAUGCGCAGAUAUCAGGAGGAACACCAGUGGCGAAGGCGGUUCUCUGGGCCUUUCCUGACGCUGAGGAGCGAAAGCGUGGGGAGCGAACAGGCUUAGAUACCCUGGUAGUCCACGCUGUAAACGGUGGGUACUAGGUGUGGGGUCCAUUCCACGGGUUCCGUGCCGUAGCUAACGCUUUAAGUACCCCGCCUGGGGAGUACGGCCGCAAGGCUAAAACUCAAAGGAAUUGACGGGGCCCCGCACAAGCGGCGGAGCAUGCGGAUUAAUUCGAUGCAACGCGUAGAACCUUACCUGGGUUUGACAUGGAUCGGGAGUGCUCAGAGAUGGGUGUGCCUCUUUUGGGGUCGGUUCACAGGUGGUGCAUGCCUGUCGUCAGCUCGUGUCGUGAGAUGUUGGGUUAAGUCCCGCAACGAGCGCAACCCUUAUCCUUUGUUGCCAGCGGUCCGGCCGGGAACUCAAAGGAGACUGCCAGUGAUAAACUGGAGGAAGGUGGGGAUGACGUCAAGUCAUCAUGGCCCUUACGAGUAGGGCUACACACGUGCUACAAUGGCAUAUACAAAGAGAAGCGACCUCGCGAGAGCAAGCGGACCUCAUAAAGUAUGUCGUAGUCCGGAUUGGAGUCUGCAGCUCGACUCCAUGAAGUCGGAAUCGCUAGUAAUCGUAGAUCAGAAUGCUACGGUGAAUACGUUCCCGGGCCU